GCGGCUGUAGGAGAUGGUCAGAUUCUCGGGUUGGGAGAUCGGAUCAGGUCCGGUCGGCGAACGGUGUUCGCCUGCGGUGGCUGUUUCACCGGCGAACGGAGGGGGGUUUGACGGAUGAGCCAAUUUCAGCGACGACGGGUUGGCUGUCGUCGUUGAUCGGAUGGAGAAGCGGUGAAGGGCAAAGGCGGCGGCUAUGGCUGCUCCAACGUCAG
Molecule: long non-coding RNA, 212 nt
Filed under: Capsicum annuum
Lineage: Eukaryota; Viridiplantae; Streptophyta; Magnoliopsida; Solanales; Solanaceae
Description: long non-coding RNA (CANN_LNC014403)
Source: RNAcentral